UGGGUUGUGGCUCAGUGGUAGAGUGCUCACCUAGCACAUGUGAGGCCCUGGGUUUGAUCCUUAGCACCACAA
This 72-nucleotide transfer RNA is filed under the name Ictidomys tridecemlineatus (thirteen-lined ground squirrel). RNAcentral describes it as "Spermophilus tridecemlineatus (thirteen-lined ground squirrel) tRNA". It matches the Rfam family "tRNA". From Rfam's summary of the family: Transfer RNA (tRNA) molecules are approximately 80 nucleotides in length. Their secondary structure includes four short double-helical elements and three loops (D, anti-codon, and T loops). Lineage: Eukaryota; Metazoa; Chordata; Mammalia; Rodentia; Sciuridae. The record is from Rfam by way of RNAcentral.